UCAGAGUGAAACCUUCGUUUUCAAAUUCCUCCGGUGUAGGGUAGGUGGGGCCGAACAUACAGGUCCGUUAUUAAUGGAUCCGUCUCUAGCACGUUUCUUUUACGUGUUUUUCCUUUUAGUAGAAACCAAGCUCAAAGAGAUAACUUAUUUACAAGAAACCUCUCGGUAAUGGUUAGAGUUUGUAGAGUAGUGCUCGUUAGAUAACAAGAACCCUUGCUCUGGCCAUGAUGGAGUAAGGAUAGCUAUCAGUUGAGGGUGCGGAUGGAAAUAGUUUUACAGUAGAAUUCCUUCCUUUGUAAAGGAAGUCAUUAGCCCUGUCACUGGUUAAUUGAGCGGUUUGUUCAAAGUGUUAAUAGAAACAAGGAAAUAUUUUGUCAAUGAAUGGAAGAAAAACAUUGUGAACAGUGAAACUAAAUAGUAAAAAAAAAAACUUCUGUACAAACUAGAUUGUCCAAUUUGAAGUGUUCAUAAAUAGCUUUCAUUUUUUUGAUUUGUUGAAAUUUGCAAUGAAGUUACAUUCAAAAUACGUUUUCGUAAAUUUCUUUAGUUAGAAUAAUUUGUCAAUUGCAGGCCGAGAUUUUGUCACAUUACCCGAAAGUGAAGACUGCGUGACUCGUGACGCCCCAAGCCCUUGUAUAGCGUUACCAAAGCGCCAGGACUGCUAAUGAAAUCAAAUGGUACAAAGAAGAACUUGGCCCAGCUAUCUUUGGCAAAUGAACAGUUAUCAUACAGAUUGGAGUGUGUGAUCCCAAAACCCCAUGUGAUGGACUCUGACCUGUGUCUUCUUAGGAACAGGUAAAAAUCAAACACGAUUUACAAGCGCUCAGAUCAGAGGAAAUAAUCGCGUUUAAUCUUUAUCCAUAGUGCAAUAAUCACGAGAUUAGUGUUUGUUAGAGUUAUUUAACCUGCCGUCAGAGUGAUUUAUUGUGGGGGUUGCGAUAUCACUCAUUAAAUAAUGAACAACCUUAAUGCGGGGUGCAGUGGAAUAUGGGGCGAGGGGUAAACGUGAAGAAUGGGGGGGAAUAAGGUGGGAGUAAAGGUUCCGGCUUACAAUGCAGCAAGGCGCGCCACAGUUUCAGUCGAGAAGGAAAGUUGAAAAGGAAACAGAUUGUCGUGUUUGGGUUGGAGGUUAAAUAGCCAAACAGUAAGAAAAGUCUGAGUUUUUUUACGGUAAUGUUAACAAAAAUACACCGUAAACUACUGAUACUUGUGUCAGGUCAUUGCGCGCAAGCUUGUGAUCACAGGCUCGUGCAGUAUUGUAGAAAUAAAACGUAAUUCCACUUCUGCAACUUUGUGUGUAAUGUUACGCGAAGCAUUUUCAGUGGAAACAGAAUUCGUUGUGCGCAAGAUAGAAUUUAACUGUUGCGAGUUGUCAUCGGGUGUAUUGAGUUAAGGUACCUUUGUCCGUACAGCUUUUUAGGAGGUCUAAAGGAACACAGUCGAACCUCCACUAACAGCCACCUCUCUUCAACGGCCACUUUUUUCUGUCUCGGCGGACGGUCCAGACAUUCAAACCGAUUUGAACCUCUUUACAACGGCCACCACUACACAACGGGAACAGUCACUAACGCGCGUCUCAACUGCUCGACAACGGCCAGUUUAUCAGCAACUUACCCACGGUGUACACAAAACCCCAUGUCUCAUUGUAAAGUGUCACAAAACUUGAUUCAUACUGCGCGUCGUUGGUCUCUGUUUCUGUUUGGUUUGCGUUUUAUUGAUAUAUUUUGAUUGUGUUACAUAUUUAUAUAUGCAUAUAUCUUCUGCAAUGCGCAUUUUUUAAAACAAAUGUUGCAUCCCCGAAAGAGCAGAUGUCAUAUUACACCCCUACCUCCCCAUAGCCGAGAGAGAUCCGAGGAGGUUCGACUGUAUUCGAAGAACCUUUUGAACCACUGUUUGAGCAAGUUGUCUUUAAAUUCCCGCAAACUCAUUCGUAGCUAAAAAUCAUUGAAAACAGUGAAUAGUCAAGGCACGUAAGCUUCAAGGGAACGCCUUUAAUAAUAUCAGCCAGUGGAGCUCUCAUUUUCCUGGGAGUCACCAUUCUGUUGUAUUUUGACUUUAUGACUUCUCACGAAUAUCCCAAAUACAAAUACUUAGCUGAAUACGCACUUUUUGUAGUCUAUGAUAUUUUCUGUUAGUUUUAACAAAGUUUCAGUUCUUUAUUAUCGUUACUUUACAGCCAUUGUUCCGACAGUUAGUGUGGUUUCCUAUUGAUUUCUGUGAAUAUAGGGUUACAGUGGCCUACAGUUCAAAUGAUCAUUGACUUCAUGACAGUAAUAUCUAGUUGACGAGUUUCGGUAUUCUCAUAACUAUUGUACUUGACAGUGUGUUGAUAUGGUCAGGAGAAAUGUUAUUUUGAUCUCUCUUGAAAAUUAGAAGUAUAAAUUGUGAAAUUCUGAUUAUUUAUGCUUUACUUGAGGGUUCAACAUAUUUAGGCUUUUUCCAUCCCGCAUCCCGCAUCCCGUCACCUUUUUUGCCUCAAUCAAGCCAUCUCGCCCCGGUCAGAAUAUUUUUCUCGAUCCCUCCUACUUAGAGUGAUUUUCCGUUUUUCAUUCCACAUCCCGCCAUCAAUUUUAAGACUAUCCCGUAUCCCGCCUGUCAAAAUGUCCAAAUCCCUUUCCCUCUAAAAUAUUUUUAUCCCGCAUCCCUCCAUUGAAAGUCCUGUCAUCCCGUAUCCCGCCUUCAUUUUUACUCAUCCCGUUUCCCGCCAAAUCUAUGUUGGGCGCGGGCCUUCUAACUUGUUCCGAUGUGCUGCGGGACGGGAUUGGAAGGAUGGAGGAGGGAAGGGAUGGGACAGAUGCUGUUAUUACUACAAAAAUGCAUUCCAGAUAAGAUGAUUUGUCAAGUAGAUGACCUGCAGUCUUGUUAUUACACAGUAACCUUUCUACUGAUCAAUGACAAGUCUAUGUCGUAUUCCCGCAAAGAAAGUCCAGACAACAGCGUUACUGUCGACAAUAUGACCGCUUCCCUGCCGGUUGCGUACGACUGGCGUCCGGAGUUUGGAUUGAAACCAGCAGGUUACAAGAGAGUAGGAAUAAAUGAGACAGGAUUUUUCGAAGGCUGACCCUUUUGAGCACGGCAUCUAACGCAUUUAGCUUAUUUAAGUUUGAAAUGUCUUAUGUUACGCUGAUGGGCCAAGAAUGCGAAUGACGUUUGUAGCUGAAAGCUUGUAAUUGCGCAGCAAAAACGGAAGACCUGAGAAAAGAAGGGCUAUAAAUUGCGCCUAAAAUGUACGCCAAAUCUUUUCACGUUGUCCAAAGCUCACAACGAAUGCAAACACGUUCUUUACAAAUAAAUUUUUUCCGGCUGCUAGGAAGGAAUGAUAUAUUGGCACUGCAGCGCACAAGUUGGUUUCAUGGAAGCUAAACUCAGCAGUAAUUGUUGAUUCAACGCACCACGAUCUCUUACUGAUGUUAUUUUAUACAGCAGAAGUCAUUAAUAAGAGAUACAACUCCCAAGCAAAACAAAAUGCCUCAAAGAUUGCUUUUGCCAGCUGAUCCCUGUAAAAUCUGUGGGUGGAGGGCGGAACAGAGUGGAAUCGGUCGAGGUAAUAGGUAAAGAUUGCAGAACGAUAGUUUUGCAGAAAAGCCCGUUUUUUACAUCAUGGGAAGUAAAAACAAUAAGGACACAAUAAGAACAGAAAAUGAUAAGGUUUUGUUUUUGUUUCAUCGAAAACAUCUCCAAAUUUUAAUCUUUUAUCCAACGCAUUGAAUUUACCUGUCUCCAUUACGACGAACUAUAAAUGCAUUAGUUACGAUAUUUGGCAAUGUAAAAUUUGUGAGACACUAUUUACUAUUGUUCUAAUCCUGUGAGUUCGUAUUUUCGAAAUAGAAGUUUUAUAUAAGUUUAUCGAGUAUGAAUUAAUUUUUGUGGUCAGAAUACUUCUUUAAGUGUUUUUCAAAAUUAAAAUAGUGGUUUAAAUAGCAAACGUGGGAUAUAAAACUAUAUUGCUUGAUUGUAAUCUUGCGUAGCUUUCUCCCAUGCAAUAUUCAACAAUAACAUUUAAACAUGCAUACAUUUAAUCUUUUAUUGCUGCAUUUACUUGGCUAGCAUUUAUCACGUUGCAUGCGAGGCGUUUAAACUGUUUCAGUUUAUCAGUGACGUGAGGAAAAAAGUGUACGCAUUGCACGGUUAAAUUAUAUUUCAAGUUACUCUGAAAAGGUCUUUGUAGUGGCAAUUGAGUUCGAGAGCUGCACAAAGAUGGAUUCAAGUGUAAAAUUUACUGUAUUUUACAGUGUAGUUUAAAUGAAUAAGGAUAACGUAUGUUGAAUAUAAUGUCUUCAAUUCAGUUGCCAGAACGACAAGCGUUAGAUUAAACUCUGAACUAUAGCACACACUACUUCUUAAUCUACAUUAACUCUAAGAUGUAGUAAAGACAAAUUUUAUUUAACUCUUAUCACAUCAUUCUCAGUUUUUAAGGCAAAUGCCAUAUUUCAUGUGUUGUGUAUUUUACAGUAAGACAAAUGUGUAUUUUACCGCAAAGUAAAAAUGCAAGAGGUUUUCAGCUCUCGUGCAAUAAAAGUGCAAAUCUUCUUGUGUCGUUUUCUUCAAAAUUUAAUUUUAAAAUCAUUUUGCUCCUAAAUGUCCAUGGUAAAAAUCUGAGGGUUAAUUUUCCAAACUUUAUGCUUGAAAAUAUCAGCUUGGGUAAUGAAAAUUUUUAAGGAAAAUCACAUGAAAGUACUUUUCAAUACUGUUGACUUGCAUGGUCAUAUACUGAAGUUUCUGCUAUCGAGAUCUUCAUCAAUAGACGUACAAAGUUAGGGUCACCUCGUACAGGGAAAUAAAAAGGUACCACAUGAAAAUACUACUAAAUAGCUUUCAUUUGAAUGGCCACACAGUAGGGUUUCAUCCAUAGACUUAAAAGUCAGGACCAUCUUGAAAAAACAUAAUGAACAGUACCACAUGAAAGUAAUACUCAACAGCUUUUAUUUGAAUGGUCACACACUAGAGUUUUAUUCACAGAAUUUAAUGUUAGAACCACCUUGUACAGCACAACAGACAGUACUACACGAAACAACUGCACAAUAGCUUUCCUUUGGAUGGUCACACACUAGGGUUUCAUCCACAAACUUGAAAAUUAAACUUACCUUGACAUGACUCGAAUUUGUCGUAUCAGCAAAGUGAUGACAGAUGCGUGUGUUGUGUGUAAUUUAGGCUUUGGGAUGAUCUCUCUGAGUCUGGUCAAGGCGCUUUUUUGGGGGCCGGAGCAUGCAAAGUUAAACACAAGUUCUUCCAGUCUUCUUUUUGUCUUUUAGGAGAAAGAAAAACGGGUUUUUUUACGGUGAAUUAUCAGUGACAAUACUUCAGUAAGCCUUCAACGUAUGCAGGUUAUGUCGUAAUCCGGCUUAACUCUGACUAGUAACGAACGAACUUAACUCUCGGCCUUUUAAAAGAUUGUUAACUGUAUGUUUUUGCUUAAGAUUAUAUUAAUGUCUAACGUGGUUAGAAAAAUUCUGGAAAAUGCUCACUAAAGUUGAGACUCGCUGAGAAUUAUAAACUGUUUAGUUUGCUUCAAUAAGUGGUCUGUGCUCUUAAUUUGUUGUGCUUUAUAAUCUUUGUAAGAGAGUUAAAUAUCGUAACAUUUUGAGAGUUUUUUUUCAUUUGAAACUAAAAGGAAACUAAUUUUACCUGAUUUCUUUCACUUUCCAACAUUUUUUCUCAGAAAAGGGGAAGCGGUUCACCAAAAACACUUUGAAUUCGAAACUAUUUUUGGUCUAACUAAGGUUAACAUGGGUUCUAUUUCAGGAAGAAUUAUUUUCCUCGCGCCAUACAAAAAUCCAGGUCAACUGCAUUACUUGGCCUUAUCACAGAAAGGAAUUUUGAAUCCGUUAUUGUUUUCGAAUUCUUCGCUAUUUUUGUCACAAAGGUUAAACUAUCUGCUUUUAAUCGGAACAAUGGUUUUAGUGCGUUCUGUGAUGUGAAGUUAACAUGAUGUUCUUUUAGGGCGAUUUAGUAGCUUUCUUUACCUCACGCCCUUAACAGAUUUAACAUGAAAAUGUAUUGCUUUGGCUGCCAAAAAGGCAGACUUCAUUCGCCAAGAAUAUUGUGUCCAUUUAUGUAAUGUUUAGUUUCUGACCACAUGUAGUCCGGCAAUAAACACAGUGUCUUUUGUUAGGUUGAUUUUUGUUUGUUUGCAUUUAUACGUACUUCGUAAACGUAAGAAAAAUCCGAGAAGAACGUAUAAAUAUACAAAGGAAAAGCAGUCUUUUUAAUUUCAUAAGUAACAUCUAUUUGUAUUUCUCUUUUCAAUGCCAAGACGUUUACAGUAUUGGAAGAUUAAAAGAAAUCACAUUACAAGAAAAUCCUGCUACAUUCACCCAAAAGGAACCCAUUUGUAUGUUACAGUGUUCAUUGCAAAUGUCAUCUUUUAAUGGACAACACGUCCCUUAUGAUUCGAAGAAAACCUUAGUUCACUAGUUCAUAGCCAACUGAAAAAAAAAAAAACAUUAACUCCAAGUAAGAGAUAUUUCAUUCCAUUUUCAUGUCAUAGGUAACUUUGAAUUGAACAUUUAUUUUUUCAUGAUUUAUAAGAUAGAAAGAGAGGAACCCAUUGUACUGUAAGAAGCCAACUUAAUACAGUCAGAAAUAAACCACAUUUCAUGAUAUAAUGUACACUCGAUGUUCAUUUCUCUUUCGAAUGGCAUCGUGUAUUGUUUUAUUGCCAGAGAAACCAACGCUUUAAGAAACCAAAUAAACUCAUCAAAAAGAGAACCCAUUUGUGUGUUCAGCGGGAAAAAUCAUUCCUCGUGUAUUUGGGAAAUAAAACCACACUGCAAGAAGGACAACUAAAUAUCAUGAAGAGAGUGGAAGCCCGUUGUGUCCAACUAGCAAAAUUCACUGUUCAUUUUUCCUUGUAGAGCGAGGUACACCAUUCAGCAAAGGAACCAAUCCCACUUGCAAGAAGGGACACUAAAUACAAUGAAAAAAGACAAAGCCAUUUGUAUGUCCCAUGUUGGUAAAAAUCACUGUAAGUGAUUUCUUUAAAGAGGAAGGUACAUCAUUCAGCAAAGAAACCCAUCCCACUUGCAAGAAAGCCAGCUAAAUGCAGUAAAAAGGGUAGGAGCCGUUGGUAUUUCACAUUGGCAACAUUCGCUGUUAAAUUGUUUCUUUGAAGAAGAUGGUGCGCUAUUACGAAACUGAGAAAUCUAUCCCAUGUGCAAGAAAGCCAGCUAAAUGCAGUAACAAGAGUAGAAGGCAUUCGUGUGUCAUUGAUUACAUUCGAUGUUAAUUGUUCUGUGAAGAAGAUGGCGUACUAUUUAGAAAUUGGGAAACCCAUCGAACGUACAAGAAAGCCAGCUGAAUGCAAUGAAAGAGAAGAAGCCAUUCGUGUGUCAUAUUGGUUACAUUCGCUGUUAAUUGUUUCUUUGAAAGAUGGUGUACUAUUUAGAAACCCGGAAACCCAGUCAACGUGCAAGAAAGCCAGCUAAAUGUAAUGAAAAGAUUAGAAGCCAUUCGUGUGUCAUACUGGUAACAUUCGCUGUUAAAGAAGAAGAAAAAAAGGUGCAGGGUUUAAAAAAGAAACCCAUUCCGUGUUCAAGAAAGCCAGCUGAAUGCAGGGAAAGAGAAGUGCUCAGUAUGUUGUAGUCUAUAUCCGUUAUAACAGAGUUACUUUUUCAGUGACAACGCACAUAUAGCAAUUGAGAAAGCAUCUAUGUCGUAGGUUUCUCACUACGUGGUGUAUUACUCGUUUAAACAACAACACACAGUGGAGUCCCGAUUUUUCUAACCCUGGAGUUUUCGAACCUCCUGAUAAUUCGAACCAAAAGUCGUUCCCCUCCCCUCAGUCGAACACUGCGAUUCUACGCCCAAUUUCUCGAACUAUGCGAUGUUUCAAACCAAUUUUCGUUCCCCACGGAAGUUCAAAAAAUUGGGAAUCCCUUUAUAUCGCUCAAAACCCGCACCAAAAAGCCAAUUCAAUGUAGUGAAAAGGAAAUAAGCCAUUUAUAUGUCGCAGGAAAAGUACAUUGUCUCACGAAAUAGACAGCACAAAGGUACUUCUCUCGUUUGUCGUCUCUACUCACUGAAAUCACCCUGCUAGAUAAGAGUAACUUUUGUCUAAAGAUGUCUAAUGGCCCAGACAAAUUCUACGAAGGGAAUUGUUUUCCAACGGAGUUCUCAGUACCUACACUCAGUUACUCCUGUUCUCCAUGGUUGACAUGGUUUCAGAGACUGACCUCCAAGAAUUUUCCAACCCACAGUCAUGCAACAUUGUUGGAGCACUGAGGAACACUCAGCGAAAUCAAACAGUUGUGAACGUGACUUUUUUGACAAACCGUCACAAAGAGCUAACAACAUUCCUAGUCUUGUUUCGCAAUUCACUGACAGCAGUUUCAACAAGGGCAAGCGGGCUGUAUGCCGUGGGAAGAGCGCGUAAAGAAUUUUAAGAAAAUUUCGCAAGAAAGCAUUCCAGCUCGUCGAUGUGACAAUUCAGCUGCCACAAUCCACUUCAACAUUUCAAAAUCUAGUUGGCAUUGACGUAUUCUCCCACUGUGGAGGCUGGCGAAGAUUUUAAAAGGAAAAUCCUGGAAUUAAAUCGCUCUUCCACUGAGAUUAAGACAUUAACCCUGUACAACUCUAGAGCCCCUAAUAUCUGUAUCACCUUCCAGAGGCUGUGUUCUCGGCCAACACUUUGAAGGCCCAUUAAAACCGGCAUGAACUGCAGCUUCGUAGUUUGUACUCUCUUAUAAGCAAUCCACUUGUAUCACUGCAAUGUAGUUUUGCUUACAGUGGUACAAUUACAAUCUUUUAGUACUCGGCAGUCCUAAAGAUGUACAUGAAACAUGUUCCGCUCUACUGGCAGUAGUCCAACAUUGUUUGCUACUUAAUAUGGGCAGUGGGUUUCGGGAUGUACGUAAAUUUGCGGGUUAAGAACGCUAAGAAUUUUGCAUCGGAGGCAAAAACGUCAUCGAGGUUGAACUUUGCGAGACACUUUAAACAAAUCUUAAGCUUUCGGCACUGGUGAAAAGAUUAUUUACUGCCUCGCGACCGAACUAAAAAAUGGAUGCAUUACUGAGGUUUGUUCAGUUGUAAAAAAAAGUUACAAGGUUCAAGAUUUUGUGUUGAUUCCGGAAAAGCGGCGGUGUUCUUACUUCCGAAUCCUGCAGCUUCAGACUGUCAACAGCAUUAUUUUCCGUAUAAGUGUGUUUGCUUAUAAGUUGUUAAUUUGUUGUGUUAUAGUUAGCUCUGCAUGCAAUGAACUGAGAGUUUGCCCAGCUCUCAUGACGCUACCCCGUUUUGGAUAAGCUGCGAUUUCGUCAGGAAAAAUUGUAAAAACAGGCUUAGCCGUGAUUGUAAAAUGAUGGAGGAGCGAUACAAUUUCGCAAGCGAAAGAGCUGCUUGAUUGAAAAUCUGCAAUAACUUAUUUCGAAACCAAGCUUUUUGUUGCAAGUUUGCUAUGUGCUACACCCAAGCCGUUUCAAAAUCCUGUUUACUUAAUUAAUAUCCAGUCAUCUUCCCUUUCAUAGUGUCCAUGAGUAAUAAAUAGCCGAUGAAGUCAUUUCUGGAGUUCUUGCAAAUUCUUGCGCUUUCCGUCACCUGCUAUCACUAAACAAAUCGUUAAAUGGUUGUUGUUUUAUCCAAGUGACUCUAAUACUUAGUUAAGGGGAUCGAGUUUAAAAUUCCUGUAAGAACUGAUAUGAAUCCGUUUGUUGUGAUAGCUGACGAAAUGCGACCGACCUACAGACCUAUGUGGCGUGAAGUUGCGAGGACUUUUGAGGUUUGGAGAUAAUGAAAUCAAAAGGAAGUGCUUGGGAUGUUGUCUUUUCCGACCUCUCGCUGAACACGGCAUUAUCCGCGUUAACGCACGGAAACCCACGAAAGCGUGCGCUUUGAAUCAAAGAAUGAUUUCGUGGGAAGCGCGUCUCACGCGAAAGUAUUUUGCAUUUCCCGGGAAAAAAAUGGACACAGCAACCGCAAAAUAAGAUGCAUUUGCACAAUGCCUAUAUAGCAACGUCGCGAAUUUUUUCAUUUGAUUUCAUUUCCGGCAGCUCGGACCGUCCGUCAAUCAAGCGGCAUGUUCAAAAGAAGAAGGGUGGUCUUGGCUCUUCUGCGAAACAAACUACGCGGGUCCGACUGACAAUAGAUCACGCGAGAGCCAAUCACAGAGGCGCUUCUAAGUUGUAUUAGUCAAUUAGCGCAGAGCUACACGAUAGUAGAUUUGCCAAUGAUUUGUGUAGUAGACAAGAAGAGUGUAAACUUGGAACAGCGCUUCAAAUGCGUAUCAUUGCGAGUGGGGGGGUGGAAGAGGAACACAAACCUCCCACGCUCCUCGCUUGAUCGGCGAACUCGGAAAAAAAUUCCAAAGCGAUUACAAAAUCAUAAGGCGCGGUCCUGAAAAUUCGAAGCGCACGGUCAAGGAUUUCAUUUACGCGUCGCGCGCACGGCACUGAAAAUAAUUUUCUGGUGCGCGCACAGUCCGCACAAUGAGUGAUCCUAGCACGGUGGCGCCACAAGAAGAGAGCGUUGCAAACGCUGCAACGGAAACAACACAGGAAACCGUGAACGAACUCGCUCGAGAUGAAAAGCUCUUGUCAACGGAAGUGCCCAGGAAAGGCAAGAGAGGACGGCCGAGAAAAAACUUUCCCGAGAAGCCUCAAGAUGACGGAGCACCCGUUAUAAAACGACCACGAGGAAGGCCAAAAGGAUCCAAGAAUAAAAACCCUAAGGUACGAAGCUUGUCAGAAUUAAGGCCUCCCCUUAGCGCGCGCUCAUGUACUGCGCUGAGUUAUCAUCAGUGAUAGAGUGGCGUGCUACACGGGCCAUUGUAUUGAUACAGCAUCUGUAAAAUGCAUGGCUUUGUUGUCGAUAUUUUUGGCCUAACUUGUUGCUUCUUGUACUAUGUAUUACUCUGUAACUCCGCGAUCAGUAAUCACGCUGGAUGUAAGCAACUCUUUGCUCUCAACAGUUGUCGAAUUUUCCAACCAUUGGGAUUGUGUGGGGUUUUUUUGCUCUCUGUCCCUCUCUCUUUUCUGGGGUACGGCCAAGAAAAUGUAACAUCGUACUUGAACAGUGCGGACGCUUUUUGUUUUGUGGUUAAUAAUGCAGAAAAGACCCAAGUGCCAGUCUCUUUGUGCUAUCAAUGUUUACAACUUUGGCGCAUAAUAACUUAGUUAUGCGUGCUGAGCAGGAGAGCUGUUGCGCGCGCUUAACGACACGAAAACUUCGCGCUUUGUGAAAAGCCUCCGAGUGGAAUCUUAGCGGCUUUGCCUGUAAUGUUAUCGACAAUUUACCAUUCUUCUAUUCGACUUCCGGUAUUUAAAACCCGUUUGGAAAACUUUUCGCGAACGUUUGUCUCACGAAGCGUGAAAUUCUCUGCAUAGUUUCGUGCAGUACACCCAUAAAUCACUUAAAAAUCACGUGAGUUUACGCACGACGCAUGCGUGAUCUACGCGCAAUACAGCACGUGUUGUGUCCGUUGUUUUCGCGGGAAAAAAAUUCGCGCGGUGUAGAAACAUAUCGCGACUUGAAUGACAUGGUAAUAAAGGCCAUACACGUGCGUGGUUUUGUGUAGGCUCUUUGUGUCGCAUCUGCACAAUGUGUGUAAUAGCUUUAAUCGGAAAACACAGCUCCUAUGAAAAGUACACAGUGGUGAUAUUGAGGGAUAAAUCUUGGCUAGUUGCCCAAUUAGCCUCGAAAAAGUUAUCGUCGAAAAUUUGAAUCGGUAGCGAUCGCGAUAGCAAAGUGGAGUUUGAACGCCUCUGAAAAGCGAUCCGUUAGUGCGAGCAGAAAAUUGAAAUCCUCCACGGAUGUUGUAGUGGGCUAAUACUUCCUGGCUUAAUACCGGAGCCAAAUGAAUUUCGUUUAGCGAUGACAAAUCAUAAUGUCCAUUGUACGAUAAUUUUUCACGUGGGAUUGUCUUGUGAAAUGCAAACAUUGUACCACCGAACGAGCGGUCAUUGAAUGAAAUUGUGUUCGGUGACCUUCGCAUAGAUGUUUGCGAAACUCGUGGAUGAAUCGCCCUGCCCCCUCGUUGAAAUGUUUUUAUGUGUUUUAAAUAACUACUUCUUCAGGACAUUUUUUCGGGGCUAUGUCAAUAGCGCUUCGUCGGACCACGUGUUUUCGAUGCGGUGUUCUCCUGUGCUUUAUCGAGGAUUAAACGUGCUUCAUACGUUUUUUUCAGUGUUUUUUUUUUUGAGCACGUACAGAAACAUUGAUAAUAACGUUACAAGUUUUCUUCAUUUUGGAUAAAGCAAUCGAAGUUUUAAUAGGCAAGGAAAAGGUACAACACCAUCAAUUUGAAAGAGGCCGGAAACCGCAAUGGUGAACUUCGGUCGUGUUCCUUUGUUAAGCUGGAUAAAAAACGUUACCAAAACAAAACCGUGCAAAGAAACACUUAAAAAACGCGUCUUCUCUCUCCUGCUGUUAUUUUGCUACAAGUCGUCUCCAAUACAACGUAUUGACCGCGAGACAAAUGUUUUAUUUUUUAUAUUUUACCGCCUUCGCUUCCGUGGAAGACAUAUUGAAAGUGAGUCAAAGUGUAGAUGCUAUCUCAGGCGCUCUGCCCGGCCGGCCGCCUACCUUGAUUAUGCUAAUGGAACAAAUUUGAAAACAAUUCCUUGAUAUCUCCUAAUCAUUUAAUAAUCCCACAGUCGAGUUAUUUUCUGCAGGUGACACUUUUAAAGAAAGUUCUGCCCGAUUGACUUCCUUUUAAAAUUAUCAACAAUGUUAGUUUCUCACACUGGACAGCUGCUAUAAGAUAAGAUUGUUUCUAAAUAUACAUGAAAUACAUGAAUAUAUAUGUAUAUAUUUUUCUUUUUUUAAUUUACUUCCCUUCUUUAUGCAGUUCUGUUUGUCAGGCAAUAAUCACACCAUAUUAGAAACUCAACUGUGGAGAGUAAAUUUCCUUUUAAUUAGCGAGCAAAUGCUUCUUCGCCAAGGUAAAACUUAUAAAAACCGACUUGACAACUUCUGUAAAAUUUCCGUUAUUUUAUCGUAAUAAAUUGAUUAUUAAAGAUUUACAGGGCCAAAUCUUUGCAAUAUCUUCACUUUGUUGUUUAUUUUCUUUGCGAACGAAGGUUGCGAAAUUCACCAAAAAAAAAACUAGACACAUUUAAGAAAUUGUUGUCAUUAAUAGAAUCUCCUUAACCCUGAGAGUAAGGCUUAUUUCGAAUUCGUUAUUGUACAUAAGUAAUUUUAAAUAUGCCACCACAUGUUCAACAUAUUUAAUAACGCUAUUUUGAUUGUUGAAAUCUAUGAAAUUUCGUAAGUCUCUUUGGAACAAUGACACAAUAAAAAGCUGCAGCUCUCGUGGAAAAAAGAUGAACAAAACGUCAUUAAAGGAUUAAAAGCUAAGAGAUUUCUUAAGAUGUUGUGUUCGAUGGCUAAUGACGGAUGCUGAUUCCUUUGUUUCUGCUUCUGCUUUUUCGUACACCAAUGGGAGACGGUUCGUCUCUAUGUAAUACCAAAGACAAUACUUAAGGAAUUAAUUUAGAACAUCAAAGACAUUUUCAUUCGAAAUUUUCAGAAUAAGUUUAAUGCAUGUCAAAACUAGACAAAAAUGUUCAUAAGCUUCCUAAAUAUGGAGAUAUUAGGCUUUGAUCAAGCAGUGUGGUCCCUUUCCCUCAAGGCUCAAGAGUGAUCAAUGCCUGAUUCUCUUUAGAACAAUACAAUGACAAGCAGACUGGACAGAUUAUGACAAUUAUGAAAAUUAUUCACCAGGGGAUAGUUGUGGGGCCCUACCAAAUUUGAAAGAAAUUGUAUAACAAUCAAACAUGUAUCCCAAGCUUAAGACUUCCUCGAUUCACAAAGUGGCUUGAACAAGAUAUAGAGGACUUUCAAUGCUUUUUAUCUUCAAUAGGACUGCCUCCUCUACAUUGUAUUGUGACAAAAUAGGUAACUAAGAUGUAUUUGUUUUAUCCUUGGUCUCCUAGUAUCUGCUCUUUCUCACAGCAGUACAUACCCGCUGAAUUAAUUUGCUGCUUCUUAACAGCUGUUUCAGCCUUCACUCAGAAAGUGAAGUAAAUUAAAUCUGAAUGCCACAUGCAACUUGGGUUGUAAUCAUGAACUUAUUGUCUGACCAGGGAGUCGUCAAAUCUGUUGUUACAUUGAUUACCUCUGGAAUAGCUGACAAUAACCUAGGGUAAACAUUUUGUAACAAAGAAGGCAUAGGCUGUACAAUUGUAACAUCCAACCUUUAACUUUUGAAAGAAAUUAAUGGAAUUGUAGAUCUCACUUUUUUCUUCACUUUUUUCCUUCUUUUCACCACAGUUCUCAGAUAUGAUUGAUUUUUUACUCUUCAUUGUCACCUAAUCUUUGUUAAAAUGAAAUUUUUAAUUUCGAGUUUUCUGAGAUUUCAAAAGAUCCCAAUUGUGUGAUAGUUUUAUGACUGAAGGUUAAAUGUAAAUGGAAUAUGAAUAUAUAAAUACUUCUUCUACCUUGUAAUUAAGUGGCCUUGCUGGUUGCCAUAAUUAACAUUAUUAACUCACAGAACAAUUCCCAUAUUAAA
Orbicella faveolata is the source of this 14440-nucleotide long non-coding RNA. NCBI's taxonomy places the organism in Eukaryota, Metazoa, Cnidaria, Anthozoa, Scleractinia, Merulinidae. The record is from RefSeq and is a predicted model, not a curated record.